GAUAACGUAACUUAAACUGGUAGUGAGCAGUAUGCACACUUAAGUUGAGAGUUUGUAUGACAUUUUUAUCUUGUAGGGAGCUAAUGUAAGGAAUAAGGCGUUUUAACGUGAACACUAAAGGUUUUUCAAAACAGUGUGUUAAUCAUAGGAACGUAUUGUAAACAAACUGAAAAUGUGGCGGCCUUAUGCGUUUGUUAUUUUCCAUCUUUUUCUCGUAAUAUGUCGAAGCAAUUUUGUGGCUGCCAAACGCAAUGAGACGUUACUCGAAUGUGCCUCUGAUGCAGAUAUAACAUUCGGAUAUAUCAGCAGUGUAUCUAACACGUCAAUAUCGAUUGCAGAAUGCGACAAGACAAUUAAAGCAUGCUUUUUGAAACCGUCUCUAGACAACAAGUACCACCUGUCCUAUACUGAUCAUGGUGGAAUUUUGCAUAUAAAAAAUCAAGACGAAUUUUUAUCCGGAACGUAUACAUGUUAUAAGACGUAUUCGCCUAGCAAUUUUGUCAGAAUGGGAAUUAUUGUUAAUUCUUGUGCUGAUUUAGAUAAAGCAACGGAUUAUACCGACAUUAUACAUGUAGUGCGCGUAACAACCAUUGAAAGGUCCAUAGUGUACCCACUUAUUGUCGUACUCAUGCUCCUCCUAUGCACUUUACUUGCAAUUGAAUAUAGAAAAAUGAAAAACCUCAAGGAUUUAAUGGAAAUGAAGAAUACAUCAGAUAACCUACUAACAGAUCGUCCAAGAAAGGAAGAAGACGACAUACACGAACCUGGGUGUGGAUAUACCGAGGAAGCAGAGACGAAUAAGUAACAGGCUGCAGAUACGAAAAGAACUUGCUGAACCUGGGAACGUCAAGAGCAUAGCUUUAAAGGUAGAGAUAGUCAAACUUCUCAAAGAUGCUGAAAAGAAAUUAUAAUCUUCUAAAACAGCGACGGAUACUUUCUUGCAACAAGUCAAAAUGACCCUUAAAGAGUUAAAAGAUGCCAAUAUCUGGUUAAGAAUUGUGUCUCCAUCCCACCGAUGAUGGCAAUCAUUUCAAAAUUGUGGUCGAAAUAGGACAAAGCAUCCAUGUAAUGAUCAUAGCCGUCCACAAUAACCUAAAAGGUACAUGCACUUUAUCUUCUAUUUUGAUGAAUCAACCGAUAAAUCAUAUUCUAUUACACAAAUGUAUUGUUUACAUAUGUUGUAUUACUUGAAAACGACAUGAUAGAUCUAUUUUAAUUAAAAUUCACACCCAACAGUAAAUAGAGAAGUUUAAAUUACUAUUAAGAGUACGGUAAAAGAAUUACAGUACUGUAUAAGAAAUGUAUAUAUUUUGUAAAACCUCUUUAAUAUGAACGAUAUUUAGAUUUACUCUCUAAACGUCUAAGUUUAUUUUGUACGUGUAUGAUUGAGAGUUUGUUUACAACAUUCCACGUAACGAACAUGAUAGUUUAUGUAUUAAUGACUUUUAUUUAGAAGACGAAAAUCAUUUUUCAUGUAAAUGCCGCUAUUACAGUGAUUAAAGAAAAAUGUAUAUAAUUCGUUUGAUUUAAAUUAAAGCGGGACUGGACGAUUUUUAUAUGUGUUAACUUGUAAUAUACCGAUAAAAAUAUGUUACAAUAACACAAAAUAGGCAAGAAAAAUUAUACAUUGAAGACAAAUUUCAUAAAAUGCAGCAAAGACAAAUUAGCGCCCCGAGCCGAUUAUGACGAAGAUAUGUCGUACAUAUUUUCCUACAAUAACCAAAGCAUUCGUCUUUUUAUUAGGAUCGGACUUAGUGUUCGCGUGUCGUAUUGAUAGAUAUCGUUGCAGGAAAUUAAAAUGAUCCGUAAAACUAAAUUUAGAUUCACAUCGUACUAGCAUGAUAUACAUGCUGGCGAAUUUGACUGUACAGACAUUUUUGAUUUCAGAAUUAAAUAUCUGGCUUAUUUCGCACUUUUCGACACAUUUCGCACUUUUCGACACAUGUUCUUCUUAACUUUUAAUUUAAUCUAUAUUGAAAUAUAUGUAUAAUAAGUUUUUUUUUUUACACAUUUUAUAUAAAUUCAAAAAUAUUUGACAAAAUCGUGCAGUCUCACUUUACCCCUUUUGUAAAUAAAUUCCACUAUUUUUUAUUUCAUGUGAUAGAAAAGUUAUCUUUAAUGUAUGCAGUUGGGAAUGCAAUCUGACAUGUAUAUAAUACUGUUUAAUAGAUGUCAUCACCCAUCGACCAUCUUACAUGUUCUUGUCAUUUAUUUCGUUUACUUUGUAUUUGCAUUUGUAAUAAACUGUUUAUGCUUUAUUAUAAUGUUUCGCUAAUUUUUACAAGAUUUGUGUAUUUUAAUAUUGCGUACUGAUGUAAAUAACUCUUCAUCACUAUUUUUUGUUCAAGGAAAGUUUUAAAAAGAUUUGGGAAUUUUAAAUUGGCGCACUGAUGUAAAUAACUCUUCAUCACUAUUUUUGUUCAAGGAAUUGAGACCCAUUUUUGAAAGAUCCAUUUAUUAAGACAAAAUUGAAAAUUCGAAUAUUAGAAACAUAAUAACAAAAUUGAGAUUUGCUUCUCAUGUUCUAUUUAUAGAAACUAGUAGGUACCAACAUAUUCAAAAAAAUGAAAGAACAUGUAAAUUUUGUACACUAAAUGAAAUUAAAGAUGAGUACCAUUUUGUUCUAAUAUGUCCGUUAUAUGAUAAUAUAAGAAAUACACAUGUGUCUCUAGAUGUUCGUACCAGAUUUUAUAAAUUCGUUAUAAGGAACACUCCAUCACGGGUCAAACGAAUCAUGACAUUAAUAACAAAUGAUUAUUUUCAAUGUUUUAAUUGUGAAUGAUUAAUUUAUUCUGUGUAUUAUGAAAUAUAC
Molecule: long non-coding RNA, 2812 nt
Organism: Dreissena polymorpha
Lineage: Eukaryota; Metazoa; Mollusca; Bivalvia; Myida; Dreissenidae
Exons: 10
Source: RefSeq, a predicted model, not a curated record